CGCGCACACACCGCCCGUCACUCUCCCCAAGCCAACCACCAUCCCAUAAAUAAUUCAUUACACCGGUAAAGGGGAGGCAAGUCGUAACAUGGUAAGCGUACCGGAAGGUGCGCUUGGAAAAAU
RNAcentral lists this ribosomal RNA (123 nucleotides) under Coptodon cf. nyongana 'Dja'. Its description in RNAcentral is "partial 12S ribosomal RNA". Lineage: Eukaryota; Metazoa; Chordata; Actinopteri; Cichliformes; Cichlidae. The record is from RNAcentral.